GAUGAACGCUAGCGGGAGGCCUAACACAUGCAAGCCGAGCGGUAUUGUUUCUUCGGAAAUGAGAGAGCGGCGUACGGGUGCGGAACACGUGUGCAACCUGCCUUUAUCUGGGGGAUAGCCUUUCGAAAGGAAGAUUAAUACUCCAUAAUAUAUUGAACGGCAUCGUUUAAUAUUGAAAGCUCCGGCGGAUAGAGAUGGGCACGCGCAAGAUUAGCUAGUUGGUGAGGUAACGGCUCACCAAGGCAAUGAUCUUUAGGGGGCCUGAGAGGGUGAUCCCCCACACUGGUACUGAGACACGGACCAGACUCCUACGGGAGGCAGCAGUGAGGAAUAUUGGUCAAUGGGUGCAAGCCUGAACCAGCCAUCCCGCGUGAAGGACGACUGCCCUAUGGGUUGUAAACUUCUUUUGUAUAGGGAUAAACCUUUCACGUGUGGAAAGCUGAAGGUACUAUACGAAUAAGCACCGGCUAACUCCGUAGCCAGCAGCCGCGGU
This 493-nucleotide ribosomal RNA is filed under the name uncultured bacterium. Its description in RNAcentral is "bacterial SSU rRNA". It matches the Rfam family "Bacterial small subunit ribosomal RNA", at positions 28 to 521 of the family's 1533-position model. The record is from RNAcentral.